GACGAACGCUGGCGGCGUGCUUAACACAUGCAAGUCGAACGGAAAGGCCCUACUUUUGUUGGGUGCUCGAUUGGCGAACGGGUGAGUAACACGUGAGUAACCUGCCCCUGACUUUGGGAUAACUCUAGGAAACUGCGGCUAAUACCGGAUAUGAGAUCCUGCUGCACAGUGGGGGUUGGAAAGUUUCGGCGGUUGGGGAUGGACUCGCGGCUUAUCAGCUUGUUGGUGUGGUAGUGGCUUACCAAGGCUUUGACGGGUAGCCGGCCUGAGAGGGUGACCGGCCACAUUGGGACUGAGAUACGGCCCAGACUCCUACGGGAGGCAGCAGUGGGGAAUAUUGCACAAUGGGCGGAAGCCUGAUGCAGCGACGCCGCGUGCGGGAUGACGGCCUUCGGGUUGUAAACCGCUGUCGCCUGUGACGAAGCGUGAGUGACGGUAAUGGGUAAAGAAGCACCGGCUAACUACGUG
This 468-nucleotide ribosomal RNA is filed under the name uncultured bacterium. Its description in RNAcentral is "partial 16S ribosomal RNA". It matches the Rfam family "Bacterial small subunit ribosomal RNA", at positions 28 to 507 of the family's 1533-position model. The record is from RNAcentral.